UCCCUGGUAGUAUAUCGGUUAGUACACGCGCUUGUCAUUAGCCGCAGUAUUGAACUAAGUUGCGCGCGCGAAAGCUGGGUUCGACUCCCAGCCAGGGAG
Non-coding RNA from Gymnopus androsaceus JB14, 99 nucleotides. The record is from the annotation of a GenBank genome assembly. NCBI's taxonomy places the organism in Eukaryota, Fungi, Basidiomycota, Agaricomycetes, Agaricales, Omphalotaceae.